Molecule: ribosomal RNA, 305 nt
Filed under: uncultured bacterium
Lineage: Bacteria
Description: partial 16S ribosomal RNA
Rfam family: Bacterial small subunit ribosomal RNA
Source: RNAcentral
CAUUUCCUACGGGGGGCAGCAGUGGGGGAUAUUGCACAAUGGGGGGAACCCUGAUGCAGCGACGCCGCGUGGGUGAAGAAGCGCCUCGGCGCGUAAAGCCCUGUCAGCAGGGAAGAAAAUGACGGUACCUGAAGAAGAAGCCCCGGCUAACUACGUGCCAGCAGCCGCGGUAAUACGGGGGGUGCAAGCGUUGUCCGGAAUCAUUGGGCGUAAAGAGUUCGUAGGUGGCACGUUAAGUCUGGUGUUAAAGGCGGAAGCUCAACUUCCGUAGGGCACUGGAUACUGGCGAGCUUGAAUGCGGUCGG